AAAUUGAAGAGUUUGAUCAUGGCUCAGAUUGAACGCUGGCGGCAGGCCUAACACAUGCAAGUCGAACGGUAGCACAGAGAGCUUGCUCUCGGGUGACGAGUGGCGGACGGGUGAGUAAUGUCUGGGAAACUGCCCGAUGGAGGGGGAUAACUACUGGAAACGGUAGCUAAUACCGCAUAACGUCGCAAGACCAAAGUGGGGGACCUUCGGGCCUCACACCAUCGGAUGUGCCCAGAUGGGAUUAGCUAGUAGGUGGGGUAACGGCUCACCUAGGCGACGAUCCCUAGCUGGUCUGAGAGGAUGACCAGCCACACUGGAACUGAGACACGGUCCAGACUCCUACGGGAGGCAGCAGUGGGGAAUAUUGCACAAUGGGCGCAAGCCUGAUGCAGCCAUGCCGCGUGUAUGAAGAAGGCCUUCGGGUUGUAAAGUACUUUCAGCGAGGAGGAAGGCGUUGUGGUUAAUAACCACAGCGAUUGACGUUACUCGCAGAAGAAGCACCGGCUAACUCCGUGCCAGCAGCCGCGGUAAUACGGAGGGUGCAAGCGUUAAUCGGAAUUACUGGGCGUAAAGCGCACGCAGGCGGUUUGUUAAGUCAGAUGUGAAAUCCCCGGGCUCAACCUGGGAACUGCAUUUGAAACUGGCAAGCUUGAGUCUCGUAGAGGGGGGUAGAAUUCCAGGUGUAGCGGUGAAAUGCGUAGAGAUCUGGAGGAAUACCGGUGGCGAAGGCGGCCCCCUGGACAAAGACUGACGCUCAGGUGCGAAAGCGUGGGGAGCAAACAGGAUUAGAUACCCUGGUAGUCCACGCCGUAAACGAUGUCUACUUGGAGGUUGUGCCCUUGAGGCGUGGCUUCCGGAGCUAACGCGUUAAGUAGACCGCCUGGGGAGUACGGCCGCAAGGUUAAAACUCAAAUGAAUUGACGGGGGCCCGCACAAGCGGUGGAGCAUGUGGUUUAAUUCGAUGCAACGCGAAGAACCUUACCUGGUCUUGACAUCCACGGAAGUUUUCAGAGAUGAGAAUGUGCCUUCGGGAACCGUGAGACAGGUGCUGCAUGGCUGUCGUC
RNAcentral lists this ribosomal RNA (1064 nucleotides) under Salmonella enterica subsp. enterica serovar Kentucky. RNAcentral describes it as "bacterial SSU rRNA". It matches the Rfam family "Bacterial small subunit ribosomal RNA", at positions 1 to 1056 of the family's 1533-position model. The record is from RNAcentral. Lineage: Bacteria; Pseudomonadati; Pseudomonadota; Gammaproteobacteria; Enterobacterales; Enterobacteriaceae.